Molecule: ribosomal RNA, 874 nt
Filed under: uncultured archaeon
Lineage: Archaea
Description: bacterial SSU rRNA
Rfam family: Archaeal small subunit ribosomal RNA
Source: RNAcentral
GAUAACCUCGGGAAACUGGGUAUAAUACCCGAUAGGUCUCGAUUGCUGGAAUGCAUCAAGAUUUAAAGCUCCUGCGCCUAAGGAUGGGUCUGCGGCCUAUCAGGUAGUAGUGGGUGUAGCGUACCUACUAGCCUACGACGGGUACGGGUUGUGAGAGCAAGAGCCCGGAGAUGGAUUCUGAGACACGAAUCCAGGCCCUACGGGGUGCAGCAGGCGCGAAAACUUUACAAUGCUGGCAACAGCGAUAAGGGAACCUCGAGUGCCAGGUUACAAAUCUGGCUGUCGAGAUGCCUAAAAAGCAUUUCAUAGCAAGGGCCGGGCAAGACCGGUGCCAGCCGCCGCGGUAACACCGGCGGCUCGAGUGGUAACCGUUAUUAUUGGGUCUAAAGGGUCUGUAGCCGGCCGGAUAAGUCUCUUGAGAAAUCUGGCAGCUUAACUGUCAGGCUUUCAGGAGAUACUGUCUGGCUCGAGGCCGGGAGAGGUGAGAGGUACUUCAAGGGUAGGGGUGAAAUCUUGUAAUCCUUGAAGGACCACCAGUGGCGAAGACGUCUCACCACAACAGACCUGACGGCGAGGGACGAAAGCUACGGGCACGAACCAGAUUAUAUACCCGGGUAGUCCUAGCCGUAAACGAUACUCGCUAGGUGUCGGCCACGGUGCGACCGUUGUCGGUGCCGCCGGGAAGCAGUGAAGCGAGCCACCUGGUAAGUACGGCCGCAAGGCUGAAACUUAAUGGAGUUGUCUGGGGAGCACCACAACGGGUGGAGCUUGCGGUUUUAUUUGGAUUCAACGCCGGAGAUCUUACUCUGGACCGACGACUAUUAUAAUGGCGAGGCUGGAGACGUUGCCGGAUUAGCUUAAUAAAGAGGAGGAU